AGAACGAACGCUGGCGGCAUGCCUAACACAUGCAAGUCGAACGAGACCUUCGGGUCUAGUGGCGCACGGGUGCGUAACGCGUGGGAACCUGCCUUUAGGUUCGGAAUAACUCAGAGAAAUUUGAGCUAAUACCGGAUAAUGUCUUCGGACCAAAGAUUUAUCGCCUUUAGAUGGGCCCGCGUAGGAUUAGCUUGUUGGUGGGGUAAUGGCCUACCAAGGCGACGAUCCUUAGCUGGUCUGAGAGGAUGAUCAGCCACACUGGGACUGAGACACGGCCCAGACUCCUACGGGAGGCAGCAGUGGGGAAUAUUGGACAAUGGGCGAAAGCCUGAUCCAGCAAUGCCGCGUGUGUGAAGAAGGCCUUCGGG
This 368-nucleotide ribosomal RNA is filed under the name uncultured soil bacterium. RNAcentral describes it as "bacterial SSU rRNA". It matches the Rfam family "Bacterial small subunit ribosomal RNA", at positions 26 to 422 of the family's 1533-position model. The record is from RNAcentral.